GACGAAGGGGGCUAGCGUUGUCCGGAAUUACUGGGCGUAAAGCGUGCGCAGGCGGUUGUGCAAGACAGAUGUGAAAUCCCCGGGCUUAACCUGGGAAUUGCAUUUGUGACUGCACGGCUAGAGUGUGUCAGAGGGGGGGUAGAAUUCCACGUGUAGCAGUGAAAUGCGUAGAUAUGUGGAGGAAUACCGAUGCGAAGGCAGCCCCCUGGGAUAACACUGACGCUCAUGCACGAAAGCGUGGGGAGCAAACAGG
RNAcentral lists this ribosomal RNA (253 nucleotides) under uncultured bacterium. RNAcentral describes it as "partial 16S ribosomal RNA". It matches the Rfam family "Bacterial small subunit ribosomal RNA", at positions 524 to 776 of the family's 1533-position model. The record is from RNAcentral.